Long non-coding RNA from Eriocheir sinensis (Chinese mitten crab), 1071 nucleotides. RefSeq lists it as uncharacterized. NCBI's taxonomy places the organism in Eukaryota, Metazoa, Arthropoda, Malacostraca, Decapoda, Varunidae. The transcript is spliced from 4 exons. The record is from RefSeq and is a predicted model, not a curated record.
CAUCCCUUGUCUUAAAGAGCUUUCCACAAACAUCACACUUGAACUCUCUAAGGCCAUAGUGCCUGAAGACAUGUCGAUCGAGUGCCUGCUUCACACUGAACCUCUUCCCGCACUCUUCACACUCAUGACUUUUUACACCAGUGUGUGUAAGGGUGUGUGUAUCAAGGUGACUCUUCCGGAAGAAUUUUUUCCCACAUUCCUUACAUUCAUAGUUCUUCACACCAGUGUGUGUAAGGGUGUGUGUAUCAAGGUUACCCUUCAGGGUGAAUAGUUUCCCACAUUCCUUACAUUCAUAGUUCUUCACACCAGUGUGUGUAAGGGUGUGUGUAUCAAGGUUACCCUUCAGGGUGAAUAGUUUCCCACAUUCCUUACAUUCAUAGUUCUUCACACCAGUGUGUGUAAGGGUGUGUCUAUCAAGGUGACUCUUCAGGAUGAAUUUUUUCCCACAUUCCUUACAUUCAUAGUUCUUCACACCAGUGUGUGUAAGGGUGUGUCUAUCAAGGUUACCCUUCAGGAUGAAUUUUUUCCCACAUUCCUUACAUUCAUAGUUCUUCACACCAGUGUGUGUAAGGGUGUGUGUAUCAAGGUGACUCUUCAGGAUGAAUUUUUUCCCACAUUCCUUACAUUCAUAGUUCUUCACACCAGUGUGUGUACGGGUGUGUGUAUCAAGGGUACUCUUCUGGAUGAUUUUUUUCCCACAUUCCUUACAUUCAUAGUUCUUCACACCAGUGUGUGUAAGGGUGUGUCUAUCAAGGGUACUCUUCUGGAUGAAUUUUUUCCCACAUUCCUUACAUUCAUAGUUCUUCACACCAGUGUGUGUAAGGGUGUGUGUAUCAAGGUGACUCUUCCGGAUGAAUUUUUUCCCACAUUCCUUACAUUCAUAGUUCUUCACACCAGUGUGUGUAAGGGUGUGUGUAUCAAGGGUACUCUUCCGGAUGAAUUUUUUCCCACAUUCCUUACAUUCAUAGUUCUUCACACCAGUGUGUGUAUGGGUGUGUCUAUCAAGGUCACUCUUCCGGAUGAAUUUUUUCCCACAUUCCUUACAUUCAUAGUUCUUCACACCAGUGUGUG